AUUUACUAUAUACUAAUUCUCAACGCACUGUUCAUCGGCUUAUGAACAGUGCCGGCUCCAGCCGAGCCGAUAUAGUAAAAGACGAUUUUGCCCCCGACUGCGUUUCUUGCCUCAACACCCGGCGUACUGCUCAGUCCUAUCGUGUCUUCGCUACUUCAAUCCACAGAGAGGUGGAGAGAGAGAGAGAGAAACAGCGAAGGUGGUACUGUUUGAAUUUCGGUGCAUGCAAUUCUGGGUGAAAACAGAAUACCGAGUUCACUGAUGGUGGUAUUUUGUUAUCUGUAGAGGACUGAAAUCGGAGAGGAGGAAGGGAGAAUUUAUCAAGGCCUAGAAAGGUGGUUGUUUGUGAAUUUUUCAGAAUGGAAUAGCAGAGAAGAAUUGCUGUUAAUGGUGGAGGAGGGAGAUGCAAUUGAAAAUCAGAGAAAGAAAGAUAAGAAGAAGCUUGAAGUAGAGAAAUCAAAGAAGAUGCUUCUGCAAUUAUUUGGGUUAAUCCUUUCUUCUCAAUCUACUGUGGAAUGAGGGGUUGAUAAGAAAUCAAGCAGUGUUGCUUCAGAGCCAAACUCAAAGAGUUUUGAGUAUGUGACCAAGGGCUUCAAAUGACCGUUCUGAUGAUGAAGGAGGGACUGACAAGAGGAAUGGUGUUAAGGCAAGGAACAAGUACCAUCCCCCGAUGUUGCUGAAGGGACAUCAAUUUAAAAAUGCUUCUUUGCUGGCAGACUUGGCUGGUGCAAGGGUUAUUACUAUUAGAUGAUCUUGAUUCGACAACCCUUGGAAAUGCAAUUGAAGAGAUGUUAGGGGAUGAGAGUAAAAUGGAAGAUAUAUUCUAGAGGGGCUCUGAGAGCUGCAAACUCCAAUACCUCUGUACAGAUUGCACAACACGUCAUUUCUCUAACCAGCUUAUAAUGAGGAAAGAAGAAGUAGACUUAAAGUUGGUUUAUACGCUAUGUAAGUCAUAGAUCCAGCUUCCAUCUUUUUGGAGCCUGAGGACUAUCGCGCGUGGGUAGAGUGAAGGUACCUCCAAGGGGAAGGACACUGCAAUCAGAGACCAAGCUUCAGUGCUUUGACCCUGUAACGAUGAAAUACUUGGGAUAUUAUCCUGCAUUGACACCUGAUGUGGUUGGUUUUUUCUUUUUUUUGUGUACAUUUGGCUUGGGGUUGUGGAUUGGUGUAGUGAACAUGUAGUAAGCUGUUAUGGAGUCUUUGCUAACUUCUAAAUGGAUGGGUUCAUUUGAUAAUGAUGUUAGGGUCAAGGAGGGGGUAGCACAAGCAAGUAAGGCACAGAAAACAUGGGCAAAGAGUAGCUUCAAGCAAAGAAACCUGUUUCUUCGGAUUAUUCUCAAGUAUAUAAUAGAACACCAAGGGGCUACCAAGUAAGGCACAGAAAACAUGGGCAAAGAGUAGCUUCAAGCAACAAAACCUGUUUCUUCGGAUUAUUCUCAAGUAUAUAAUAGAACACCAAGACCUUAUAUGUGAGAGUUCAGUUAGAAAGAAAUCAAUUAAUAAUUGUUAUA
Long non-coding RNA from Rosa rugosa (rugosa rose), 1511 nucleotides. RefSeq lists it as uncharacterized. NCBI's taxonomy places the organism in Eukaryota, Viridiplantae, Streptophyta, Magnoliopsida, Rosales, Rosaceae. The transcript has 8 exons. The record is from RefSeq and is a predicted model, not a curated record.